AAUAAAUUAAUUAGGGAACGUCCUCUAAUUAAUUACUAAUUAACAAAUUGCCAAGGAACGUCCUUGGGCCUUAGGCAUCAAAACAAUUGUCAAUUGCAUUAAGAAAGAGAGAGACCCAAUCCUAGCUACCCAAACGUAUGGAGAUAACGCUAGAUCAUGCAAUUUCCUUGGGUUCUAUCCCAAGUGUCCUCAUGUAAGAAUAAUCCAAGCAAUUACGGACUUAAAUUAUUCAAACUAACAAAUAAUUAUUUUGCAAUUAAAAAAAUCAACGUAGAUUUCAAUUACAAAAUAAUAUGAAGAUUAAAUAUGAAAUUGCAUAAAUAUUGAAUUCCCAAAAAUUAAAUAAUAUUUGAUCAAGUCUCACAACCCAUUAACCAACUAAAGUUUCAACCA
This 393-nucleotide long non-coding RNA is filed under the name Manihot esculenta (cassava). RNAcentral's name for it is "long non-coding RNA (MESC_LNC002359)". Lineage: Eukaryota; Viridiplantae; Streptophyta; Magnoliopsida; Malpighiales; Euphorbiaceae. The record is from RNAcentral.